UAUAUUUAUCAUUUUACAUUUUCUUAUUGAGAAAUUGAAUGAAACAACAUUUCCUGCAAUGAAAUGUGAAAAUAAUGAUGAAAAUGUCAAAAAAUGGAAGGCGAUAAUAUUUUACACAAUAACAUUGAUAGGAAAGGACAUUUUGUGCUAAUUACCUCACCACUGAAUAUUAAAAACUAGCUUGAGUAAAUCAGUCUCGUCUUAUCGAAGUGAACUCAAAUUCCAAAACUGCAUAAUGAUAAGCAUCUAACACUCAUGCACCAGAGCUAUAUAUAACAAACUAUAUUGCAAGUAGUAACUCGUAUUACAAUACCAAGGCAUGUCAAAUGAAAUUCUCAAACCAUUAAACAAUAAAUCUUAAUACUAUAAUAGAAAACUAAUACUGCAGAAAAUACUGUCGUCACACGUAACUNN
Molecule: long non-coding RNA, 414 nt
Filed under: Olea europaea subsp. europaea
Lineage: Eukaryota; Viridiplantae; Streptophyta; Magnoliopsida; Lamiales; Oleaceae
Source: RNAcentral